AGUGAACGCUGGCGGUAGGCCUAACACAUGCAAGUCGAACGGCAGCACAGUAAGAGCUUGCUCUUACGGGUGGCGAGUGGCGGACGGGUGAGGAAUACAUCGGAACCUACUUUUUCGUGGGGGAUAACGUAGGGAAACUUACGCUAAUACCGCAUACGACCUACGGGUGAAAGCAGGGGAUCUUCGGACCUUGCGCGAUUGAAUGAGCCGAUGUCGGAUUAGCUAGCUGGCGGGGUAAAGGCCCACCAAGGCGACGAUCCGUAGCUGGUCUGAGAGGAUGAUCAGCCACACUGGAACUGAGACACGGUCCAGGCUCCUACGGGAGGCAGCAGUGGGGAAUAUUGGACAAUGGGCGCAAGCCUGAUCCAGCCAUACCGCGUGGGUGAAGAAGGCCUUCGGGUUGUAAAGCCCUUUUGUUGGGAAAGAAAAGCAGCAGGUUAAUACGCCGCUGUUCUGACGGUACCCAAAGAAUAAGCACCGGCUAACUUCGUG
RNAcentral lists this ribosomal RNA (492 nucleotides) under uncultured bacterium. RNAcentral's name for it is "partial 16S ribosomal RNA". It matches the Rfam family "Bacterial small subunit ribosomal RNA", at positions 29 to 507 of the family's 1533-position model. The record is from RNAcentral.